RNAcentral lists this transfer RNA (75 nucleotides) under compost metagenome. RNAcentral's name for it is "tRNA-Trp". It matches the Rfam family "tRNA". From Rfam's summary of the family: Transfer RNA (tRNA) molecules are approximately 80 nucleotides in length. Their secondary structure includes four short double-helical elements and three loops (D, anti-codon, and T loops). The record is from RNAcentral.
AGGUCGGUAGUUUCAGCGGCAAAACCCCGGUCUCCAAAACCGGUAUCCUUGGUUCGAAUCCAAGUCGGCCUGCCA